AUGGCAAGGACAUGGCGAACUCAAACUCUGACCAGAGCACCAAGCCGGAUUCUCAUGGUCCGCGGGAUCAAGAUUAACAUCUGGACCCAAGGCAUUUUCAUUCAUCAUUCUUCCAAGGCAAUUGUGGUGCAGGCUGGAAUUUCUGUGACCUUAGUAAUGUGCAGACCCUUUUUUGCCAAAGACCUUUGAAGACGGCACCGGGUCUGGU
RNAcentral lists this long non-coding RNA (208 nucleotides) under Canis lupus familiaris (dog). RNAcentral describes it as "lncRNA (ENSCAFG00000059063.1)". The record is from RNAcentral. Lineage: Eukaryota; Metazoa; Chordata; Mammalia; Carnivora; Canidae.